RNAcentral lists this ribosomal RNA (984 nucleotides) under human gut metagenome. RNAcentral describes it as "bacterial LSU rRNA". It matches the Rfam family "Bacterial large subunit ribosomal RNA", at positions 1946 to 2925 of the family's 2925-position model. The record is from RNAcentral.
CGGUCCUAAGGUAGCGAAAUUCCUUGUCGGGUAAGUUCCGACCUGCACGAAUGGCGUAAUGAUGGCCAGGCUGUCUCCACCCGAGACUCAGUGAAAUUGAACUCGCUGUGAAGAUGCAGUGUACCCGCGGCAAGACGGAAAGACCCCGUGAACCUUUACUAUAGCUUGACACUGAACAUUGAGCCUUGAUGUGUAGGAUAGGUGGGAGGCUUUGAAGUGUGGACGCCAGUCUGCAUGGAGCCGACCUUGAAAUACCACCCUUUAAUGUUUGAUGUUCUAACGUUGGCCCGUAAUCCGGGUUGCGGACAGUGUCUGGUGGGUAGUUUGACUGGGGCGGUCUCCUCCCAAAGAGUAACGGAGGAGCACGAAGGUCAGCUAAUCCUGGUCGGACAUCAGGAGGUUAGUGCAAUGGCAUAAGCUGGCUUGACUGCGAGCGUGACGGCGCGAGCAGGUGCGAAAGCAGGUCAUAGUGAUCCGGUGGUUCUGAAUGGAAGGGCCAUCGCUCAACGGAUAAAAGGUACUCCGGGGAUAACAGGCUGAUACCGCCCAAGAGUUCAUAUCGACGGCGGUGUUUGGCACCUCGAUGUCGGCUCAUCACAUCCUGGGGCUGAAGUAGGUCCCAAGGGUAUGGCUGUUCGCCAUUUAAAGUGGUACGCGAGCUGGGUUUAGAACGUCGUGAGACAGUUCGGUCCCUAUCUGCCGUGGGCGCUGGAGAACUGAGGGGGGCUGCUCCUAGUACGAGAGGACCGGAGUGGACGCACCUCUGGUGUACCGGUUGUCACGCCAGUGGCAUUGCCGGGUAGCUAAGUGCGGAAGAGAUAACCGCUGAAAGCAUCUAAGCGGGAAACUUGCCUGAAGAUGAGUCUUCCCGGAGGUAAAACCUCCCUCAAGAGUCGUCCGAGACCAGGACGUCGAUAGGUCAGGUGUGUAAGCGCUGUGAGGCGUUGAGCUAACUGAUACUAAUUGCUCGUGAGGCUUGAUCCU